GUGAGGGCCAUCUGGCUGCAACAUCUGUCACCCCAUUGAUUGCCAGGGUUGAUUAGGCUGAUCUGGCUGGCUAAGCUGGUGUCUCCUUCCUCCCUAAGGUGAUCACUUUGUUGAAGAGGACAACCUUCACAAAUAGAGGAAGAUCGGGCUUUGGUCAAGGGUAUAGGAGUAGCUAUGAUCCCCUGCUAGAACCCUAAACAAGUUCUCAAGGUAUAAAUUAGUUUAUUCAAGACAAAGUUAUAGAAAUGACAAUAUCUUUAGGUUUUUACCAAACUAUGGUAAUCAUACCU
This 290-nucleotide small nuclear RNA is filed under the name Jaculus jaculus (lesser Egyptian jerboa). RNAcentral describes it as "7SK RNA (ENSJJAG00000001761.1)". It matches the Rfam family "7SK RNA". Rfam says of the family: 7SK was discovered as an abundant small nuclear RNA in the mid-70s but a possible function has only recently been suggested. Lineage: Eukaryota; Metazoa; Chordata; Mammalia; Rodentia; Dipodidae. The record is from RNAcentral.